This 364-nucleotide transfer-messenger RNA is filed under the name Salmonella enterica subsp. enterica. RNAcentral describes it as "transfer-messenger RNA, SsrA". It matches the Rfam family "transfer-messenger RNA". Rfam says of the family: Bacterial tmRNA, also known as 10Sa RNA or SsrA, is named for its dual tRNA and mRNA-like properties. The record is from RNAcentral. Lineage: Bacteria; Pseudomonadati; Pseudomonadota; Gammaproteobacteria; Enterobacterales; Enterobacteriaceae.
GGGGCUGAUUCUGGAUUCGACGGGAUUUGCGAAACCCAAGGUGCAUGCCGAGGGGCGGUUGGCCUCCGUAAAAAGCCGCAAAAAAAUAGUCGCAAACGACGAAACCUACGCUUUAGCAGCUUAAUAACCUGCUUAGAGCCCUCUCUCCCUAGCCUCCGCUCUUAGGACGGGGAUCAAGAGAGGUCAAACCCAAAAGAGAUCGCGUGGAUGCCCUGCCUGGGGUUGAAGCGUUAAAACGAAUCAGGCUAGUCUGGUAGUGGCGUGUCCGUCCGCAGGUGCCAGGCGAAUGUAAAGACUGACUAAGCAUGUAGUACCGAGGAUGUAGGAAUUUCGGACGCGGGUUCAACUCCCGCCAGCUCCACCA